ACUGGUUGAUCCUGCCAGUGAUUAUAUUCUCAGAUAAAAGAUUAAGCCAUGCAUGUCCAAGUGUAAACAAGUUACUAGUGAAACUGCGUAUGGCUCAUUACAAGACUGUUCACCUACCCGAGAACCAAGUAACAAUUGGAUAACCGUUGUAAUUCAAGGGCUAAUCAUGCACGAAAAAUAGUUUUCGCAAGAGAAUUAUUGCAUUUGUUAGUCUUAAACCAACAUUUUUAUUGUUGAAUCAUGACAAAUUGCGGAUCCUCAUGUUGUAAAAAACGGAGGACGACUCGGUCGGGUCUUUCCCCUAUCAGGUUUCGACGUGAGUGUAUUGAACUCUCGUGCCAGUGACGGGUAACGGAGAAUCAGGGUCCGAUUCCGGAGAAGGAGCCUGAGAGACGGCUACUACAUCUAAGGAAGGCAGCAGGCGCGCAAAUUUCCCAAUGCUCAUCGAGCGAGGAAGUGACGAUCAAUAACAAUGCGUGAUUUUUAAAAUUAUGCAAUUGGAAUGACUACGAUUUAAAGAGUCUAAGGAGGAUCAAUUGGAGGGCAAGUCUGGUGCCAGCAGCCGCGGUAAUUCCAGCUCCAAUAGGAUAUAUCAAUACUGUUGCAGUUAAAAAGCUCGUAGUUGAGUUUUUGGUGGGUUUUGUUGUUUUAUUUAUUUUAAUGAAAGUUGAAAUAUAAUAGAACCGCCUGCCACAUUGUGGAUCCCUAGUUUUAUUUUGAUUGUUAACUCGAUUGAGAUAAAAUUACCACUCAGUUACUGAGAGCAAAUUGGAGUGCUCAAAGCAAGCUUUCUAGCUUUGAACAUAUUAGCUUGGAAUAACAAAAAAGGACUUGCGUUCAUUUUGUUGGUUAUGAUUUUACGUGAGUAAUGACUAAAAGAAACAGUUGCGGGGGUAUUCGUACUGGAAAGUCAGAGGUG
Molecule: ribosomal RNA, 919 nt
Filed under: uncultured soil eukaryote
Lineage: Eukaryota
Description: SSU rRNA
Rfam family: Eukaryotic small subunit ribosomal RNA
Source: RNAcentral